Molecule: long non-coding RNA, 204 nt
Filed under: Lathyrus oleraceus (garden pea)
Lineage: Eukaryota; Viridiplantae; Streptophyta; Magnoliopsida; Fabales; Fabaceae
Description: Pisum sativum (pea) long non-coding RNA (PSAT_LNC031991)
Source: RNAcentral
UAGGAGAAUCCUCUGAAUCAAGACCUCCAGCACCUCUGCAAGAGUCUUCUGGUAAGUCUGCCUCUCCUGCUCCCUCUGUACAGCAACUUGCUUCGUCUAUUCCUCUACCAACACCCCUCUACACCACAUCUGAAACCCCUCCCUCAACAACCAGAACAUCUCAACCACUACCAAAAUUCAACCUUGCCAAUACCUCCUUACCCA